Molecule: transfer RNA, 72 nt
Filed under: Bos taurus (domestic cattle)
Lineage: Eukaryota; Metazoa; Chordata; Mammalia; Artiodactyla; Bovidae
Also listed under: 2 other names
Rfam family: tRNA
About the family: Transfer RNA (tRNA) molecules are approximately 80 nucleotides in length. Their secondary structure includes four short double-helical elements and three loops (D, anti-codon, and T loops).
Source: Rfam by way of RNAcentral
UCCCUGGUAGCUCAGUUGGUAAAGUAUCUGCCUGCAAUGCAGGAGACCCUGGUUCGAUUCCUGGGUUGGGAA